AUCGAUGAAGAACGCAGCGAAAUGCGAUAAGUAAUGUGAAUUGCAGAAUUCAGUGAAUCAUCGAAUCUUUGAACGCACAUUGCGCCCUCUGGUAUUCCGGAGGGCAUGCCUGUUUGAGUGUCAUUAAUCUCUCACAACCACCUGUGGUAUUGUGAUGUUGGGAGCUGCGCUGUGCUUGCACGACGCUCUCCUCAAAUGCAUUGGUGCGGCCUGCCGCCCGGUUACACAACGUUCUAGGUUCGUCCAACUCGUUGCUACUCCGGUGCAAUCAUGGUGCUGCACCUAAAGCCCGUCUCGUGCCUUGUGCUCUUGACAUCUUCAUUUAUUGACCUCAGAUCAGGUAGGAAUACGCGCUGAACUUAAGCAUAUCAAUAAGCGCAGGGGGAGGAACUAACUAGGAUGCCUUCAGUAACGGCGAGCGAAGCAGGCAUAGCUCAAAUUUGUAAUCUGGCGCCUUUGGCGUCCGAGUUGUAUUUUCUAGAAGCGAGUUCGGCGACAGCUCCUACCCAAGUCCGUUGGAACACGGCGUCAUGGAGGGUGAGAAUCCCGUGAAUGGUAGGAUGUCUGCUGCUAUGUGAACCGCCUUCGAAGAGUCGAGUUGUUUGGGAAUGCAGCUCUAAAUGGGAGGUAAAUUUCUUCUAAAGCUAAAUAUUGGCCAGAUGCGAUAGCGAACAAGUAGAGUGAUCGAAAGAUGAAAAGAACUUUGAAAAGAGAGUUAAACAGUACGUGAAAUUGUUGAAAGGGAAGCGCUUGAGAUCAGACUUCCUGUCUGGACUGUCCUUGCUUUUGCUUGGGUCAACAGUCCAGGCGUGGAGGCCAGCAUCAGUUUUGACGGCUGGAUAAAGGCCCU
This 850-nucleotide ribosomal RNA is filed under the name uncultured fungus. RNAcentral describes it as "eukaryotic LSU rRNA". The stretch from base 327 to 850 matches the Rfam family "Eukaryotic large subunit ribosomal RNA", at positions 1 to 529 of the family's 3401-position model. Lineage: Eukaryota; Fungi. The record is from RNAcentral.